UGACAUGGAGCCUGAUGGAAUAUGGCCGGU
Molecule: non-coding RNA, 30 nt
Filed under: Rattus norvegicus (Norway rat)
Lineage: Eukaryota; Metazoa; Chordata; Mammalia; Rodentia; Muridae
Source: RNAcentral